Long non-coding RNA from Felis catus (domestic cat), 2659 nucleotides. RefSeq lists it as uncharacterized. The record is from RefSeq and is a predicted model, not a curated record. Lineage: Eukaryota; Metazoa; Chordata; Mammalia; Carnivora; Felidae. The transcript has 2 exons.
AAAGAAAAUAAAUAACUUCUUGUAAACAACUGAGAUAUAAUACUAUGCAACAAAACUACCAAUGGUCCUGUUUUGAAGAAAAAAAAUGAGAGUAUUUUGGAAUUCCCAUUUGCUAGGGCAUUAGUCUCUUAUUAAUAGAUUGAUAAAUAUAAAAAAUGAAACUUACUUGACAUUUUGGAAGGUUAAGUUCUCAGUUCCUUAAGAAUGAAUCUGAGACACUAAAAUAAAAAAAGAAAAAAAAAAGAAAAAAAAAAAGAGAAUCAAAACUCAGCAAGCAUAAGAGAUGUUUCCCUGAAGAAUAGGGUAGUUUAAAUUGGUACUUCUUAGUAAAAUUACACUAUCUUCUAAUAAUCCAAUUUUCUGCAUGAAACUAGUUCUUAUAGGUCAUUUGGCUCAUCAGAAUUAAACAACUAAAACAAAUUACUGGGGAUAUUAGCAUUAAUAUUAGACAUAGACUUCCAAGUUUCUUAUGAUAUUGGGCCACCUCUUGCAUGGAAAACAUAUUGCUAAUGCCAUGUGAACAUUUAAUUAAACUGAUAAAAAUACAAUGACAAUAAAAUGUGAUGUAUUAUCAGGGCCCACCCCAACAAGGCCUACCAGAUACUGACAGAUCACUGAUGAACAGCAGCUUUACCUUCCUCUUAGAAUAACAACUUCUAUUAAAACAAGGCAGCAUUUUAUUCCUGGAGGCAACGCAAAAGGUAACUGGUAUGAUCGUGAGCUUUACGUUCUCUAAUGGUGGCAAAUAACUUUAUCUCUCCUGGGAAUAACUUUGAGAGUCUACCUGAGAAACUCUUAUUAACCCUUCACAGCCCAUUUCAAAAUAUUAUCUCCACAGUGGAAGAUAAUGAUAAAUUAUCUUCAUGAUAAAUUUCAUGAUAAAUUACCCGGGAAGAAUGAGUUGCUUCCUCAUCUGUACUCCUAUCCAAUUUACAGAUCCAUAAUAUUGUUCAUUACAUUGUAUCAUACCUGUUAAUAUGGCUAGAUUGUGGAAUAGAGACCAUCUAACUCAUUAUUGCAGUCCCAGCACCUAGCUCAAUUCUUAAUACAUUUUGUCCUAAUAUUACCAGCUCAGAACCAGACCAUACCCGCGUGAGCUUGUUCCUCACAUCAAAAUACAUCACACACGAUGUGUACAAAGAGACAAGCAUUCAUUUUUAAAAAAGAAGCAAAUAACUUCUAUGACUACUGGAAUACUUUCAUGGAACAUUAGGUGAAAACAAGCAUGAUGCUUUUGCUUCUAUUCUACAUUUUAAGGGAAUUCCCUGGAGCAUAAGGAAUAAGAGGACUGUGUGGAAAGAAAUUUUUCAAUGGCCCAACCUGGGUCUCUCCCUCUUAAGGAAGGGGCAGAAACCAUGGUCUCCGGUGCAGAUAGAUUUCCUUGCGCUCACAAUAGGGAGUGGGUGGGGUGUGGGUGGAGGGACUGUCAACAUCCAGAAGGCCUUGCUGCGGGGAUCCCUGACAAUAAUUGGCAAAGCUCCCUGGUACAUCACACUUUAUUGCUAAUAUUUUUAAAUUAUUGCUCUCGUCUGCUACUAUAAAUUCUAAGCGUGAGCUUGUACAUUUGUCUGCCACUGGAUCCAUCCCCCGUGCCUGGCAUAAAAUACUAGCUAUUUGUUGAACACUUUAUACGGGGCAGGCUUAUCACUUAUUUCGGUUCAUGGUCACAACUACCCUACGAGACACAGAGCAUGAGCGGGGGAGGGGCAGAGAGACGAGACAGAAUCCAAAACAGGCUCCAGGCUCUGAGCUGCCAGCACACUACCCGUCCUGGGGCUCAAACUCGUCAACCUGGAGAUCAUGACCUGAGCCGAAGUUGGACGCUAAACCGAUUGAGCCACCGGGAGCCCCAAUACAUACUAUAUUCUUAACAGUAAUACCUAACUUUGUCUUCUUUUUUUUUUUUUUUUUGGCAUUUCUAGGCUAUGCAGUUCCUCUGCAAGUUUUUUCAAAUAGUUGCAAAUCUCCAAAAAUUUUACCAAUAUAUUUAUUGAAAAAAAGUCCACGUGUAAGUGGACGUGUGCAGUUCAAACCCAUGUUGCUCAAGGGUCAAUUGUACUUGAAACCACCUUUUUAAUAUAAAAGCAUCUAAGACAUAUAAAAGAUUAAUGUAAGAUACAUGAAAGCCUCAGCAAGAAUCUCAGUACCUUCUUUCUCUGGUUUUGUCCAGCACCUCCAGCUUGGUUUCUUCCCUGCACUUGGGGUUAUGGUGGGGGGAUUGGGCAAGUGUGGUGCUGGGGCAGGUGUUCCUGUGUGUCAUUUCCAGGCAGUCCUGCAGGUGCCGGAUGUUACACUGUAGUGGGAAAGAGGUGGCACAAAAGUGGCGGAAAAAGAAAAGGGGAUCUGUGUGGAGUAGUGACAUUGAUACACUUUCCCACCUCCUGGUCUUUGCUUAAAUGUCAUCUUCUCAGUGGGUCUUUUCAGACCUAUUUAAAAUUGCAACUCAUUUCCCAAUCUCUAUCCAUGGUCUGUGCUUUGCUUUGUUUUUGUUUUUCUAUAGCUCUUAUCACCACCUGGCAUACUAUGUAUUUAUUUUGUUGCCUUUUUCUUCCCAUCAGAAUGAAAGCUCUUUGAGGGUGGGGACGUUUCAUAUCCGGAACAGUGUGUGGUACAUCCACGUGCUCAAUGAUUGUGGAGUGAAUAAAUAGUUACCUCCUUU